UGUUGCUCAUCACGUUCUGUGCUCCAUGAAAUACUUAACGACCCUAACAACCGCUUCCGUAUCUUUGCUAUGUCCGAGUUGUAGCCAAAAUCGUAGACUUAGUAAACACUUGGUUUUAAAAACGAUUUUCUCCUUCUUCAUUGGAGGAUCCAAUGGAACUAGUUUAUCUCGUGGACAAGAGCCGGAAACUUUGCACCCAAAAAUGUCCUUCUAGAAAGCAAUGUCACUGAAUUGAUUGCACCAACUUGAAGCCUUCCGACAAAAAUACUUUUCCUGCGGAGCCCGAUUUUUUAAUCAUUGCUUAAAAAAUAUAGAAAACAGAAAACCAACGAUGAAAAUCGAAAAAAGGGGCACGCAGCAAAAGUUUUACGCGAGUUAUGAUGACUACGGUAGCCUUACCGAUAAGAUACAGAGACA
Long non-coding RNA from Cephus cinctus (wheat stem sawfly), 417 nucleotides. RefSeq lists it as uncharacterized. The record is from RefSeq and is a predicted model, not a curated record. The transcript is spliced from 3 exons. NCBI's taxonomy places the organism in Eukaryota, Metazoa, Arthropoda, Insecta, Hymenoptera, Cephidae.